GAUGAACGCUGGCGGCGUGCCUAAUACAUGCAAGUCGAGCGAACAGAUGAGGAGCUUGCUCCUCUGACGUUAGCGGCGGACGGGUGAGUAACACGUGGAUAACCUACCUAUAAGACUGGGAUAACUUCGGGAAACCGGAGCUAAUACCGGAUAAUAUAUUGAACCGCAUGGUUCAAUAGUGAAAGACGGUUUUGCUGUCACUUAUAGAUGGAUCCGCGCCGCAUUAGCUAGUUGGUAAGGUAACGGCUUACCAAGGCAACGAUGCGUAGCCGACCUGAGAGGGUGAUCGGCCACACUGGAACUGAGACACGGUCCAGACUCCUACGGGAGGCAGCAGUAGGGAAUCUUCCGCAAUGGGCGAAAGCCUGACGGAGCAACGCCGCGUGAGUGAUGAAGGUCUUCGGAUCGUAAAACUCUGUUAUUAGGGAAGAACAAAUGUGUAAGUAACUAUGCACGUCUUGACGGUACCUAAUCAGAAAGCCACGGCUAAAUACGUG
RNAcentral lists this ribosomal RNA (497 nucleotides) under uncultured bacterium. RNAcentral describes it as "partial 16S ribosomal RNA". It matches the Rfam family "Bacterial small subunit ribosomal RNA", at positions 28 to 507 of the family's 1533-position model. The record is from RNAcentral.